AUUCGGCUGAUGAGUCCCAAAUAAAACGAAACGCGCAUCCUUGAU
Molecule: non-coding RNA, 45 nt
Filed under: Schistosoma mansoni
Lineage: Eukaryota; Metazoa; Platyhelminthes; Trematoda; Strigeidida; Schistosomatidae
Source: RNAcentral